Small nucleolar RNA from Rattus rattus (black rat), 129 nucleotides. RefSeq annotates it as small nucleolar RNA SNORA40. NCBI's taxonomy places the organism in Eukaryota, Metazoa, Chordata, Mammalia, Rodentia, Muridae. The transcript has a single exon. The record is from RefSeq and is a predicted model, not a curated record.
GGGACUGAGGUGUGGCUUUGCUGAACUUGUGGACAAAGAUUUAAAGACAGGUGAUAAAAUAUGUUUUCUCUUUUUUGACCUAGAGCUCACUGUUCAGUGUGGGUUUUGAUGUUUGUAUAGAGGAAUACC